UACGGAGGGUGCAAGCAUUAAUCGGAUUUAUUGGGCGUAAAGGGCGCGUAGGCGGAAUGAUAAGUCAGAUGUGAAAUCCUGGGGCUCAACCCCAGAACUGCAUUUGAAACUAUCUUUCUAGAGGGUGGCUGGAGAAAACGGAAUUCCACAAGUAGCGGUGAAAUGCGUAGAUAUGUGGAAGAACACCGGUGGCGAAGGCGGUUUUCUAAGUUACACCUGACGCUGAGGCGCGAAAGCUAGGGGAGCAAACAGG
Molecule: ribosomal RNA, 253 nt
Filed under: uncultured bacterium
Lineage: Bacteria
Description: partial 16S ribosomal RNA
Rfam family: Bacterial small subunit ribosomal RNA
Source: RNAcentral